Molecule: ribosomal RNA, 429 nt
Filed under: Verrucomicrobiota bacterium
Lineage: Bacteria; Pseudomonadati; Verrucomicrobiota
Description: Verrucomicrobia bacterium partial 16S ribosomal RNA
Rfam family: Bacterial small subunit ribosomal RNA
Source: RNAcentral
UAGGGAAUCUUCCGCAAUGGACGAAAGUCUGACGGAGCAACGCCGCGUGAGCGAAGAAGGAUUUCGGUUCGUAAAACUCUGUUGUUAGGGAAGAAAAAAUGUAUAGUAACUAUAUACAAAAGAGACGGUACCUAACCAGAAAGCCACGGCUAACUACGUGCCAGCAGCCGCGGUAAUACGUAGGUGGCAAGCGUUGUCCGGAAUUAUUGGGCGUAAAGCGCGCGCAGGUGGUUUAGAAAGUCUGAUGUGAAAGCCCACGGCUCAACCGUGGAGGGUCAUUGGAAACUAAUAAACUUGAGUGCAGGAGAGAAAAGUGGAAUUCCUAGUGUAGCGGUGAAAUGCGUAGAGAUUAGGAGGAACACCGGUGGCGAAAGCGGCUUUUUGGCCUGCAACUGACACUGAGGCGCGAAAGCGUGGGGAGCAAACAGG